Molecule: ribosomal RNA, 253 nt
Filed under: uncultured bacterium
Lineage: Bacteria
Description: partial 16S ribosomal RNA
Rfam family: Bacterial small subunit ribosomal RNA
Source: RNAcentral
AACGUAGGAGGCGAGCGUUAUCCGGAUUUACUGGGUGUAAAGCGCAUGCAGGCGGUUCGCUAAGUUGGGUGUGAAAGCUCCUGGCUCAACUGGGAGAGGUCGCUCAAGACUGGCGGGCUAGAGGAUGGUAGGGGAAGGCGGAAUUCCGGGUGUAGUGGUGAAAUGCGUAGAUAUCCGGAGGAACACCAGUGGCGAAGGCGGCCUUCUGGACCAUGACUGACGCUCAGAUGCGAAAGCUAGGGGAGCAAACGGG